Molecule: ribosomal RNA, 505 nt
Filed under: uncultured bacterium
Lineage: Bacteria
Description: partial 16S ribosomal RNA
Rfam family: Bacterial small subunit ribosomal RNA
Source: RNAcentral
GACGAACGCUGGCGGCGUGCCUAAUACAUGCAAGUAGAACGCACAGUUUAUACCGUAGCUUGCUCCACCAUAGACUGUGAGUUGCGAACGGGUGAGUAACGCGUAGGUAACCUGCCUGGUAGCGGGGGAUAACUAUUGGAAACGAUAGCUAAUACCGCAUAAUAUUAAUUAUUGCAUGAUAAUUAAUUGAAAGGUGCAAUUGCACCACUACCAGAUGGACCUGCGUUGUAUUAGCUAGUAGGUGAGGUAACGGCUCACCUAGGCGACGAUACAUAGCCGACCUGAGAGGGUGAUCGGCCACACUGGGACUGAGACACGGCCCAGACUCCUACGGGAGGCAGCAGUAGGGAAUCUUCGGCAAUAGACGAAAGUCUGACCGAGCAACGCCGCGUGAGUGAAGAAGGUUUUCGGAUCGUAAAGCUCUGUUGUAAGAGAAGAACGGGUGUGAGAGUGGAAAGUUCACACUGUGACGGUAUCUUACCAGAAAGGGACGGCUAACUACGUG